This 489-nucleotide ribosomal RNA is filed under the name uncultured bacterium. RNAcentral's name for it is "bacterial SSU rRNA". It matches the Rfam family "Bacterial small subunit ribosomal RNA", at positions 15 to 518 of the family's 1533-position model. The record is from RNAcentral.
GAUCCUGGCUUAGGACGAACGCUGGCGGCGCGCCUAACACAUGCAAGUCGAGCGGAGAACAAGAGCUGCUCUUGUCUAGCGGCGGACGGGUGAGUAACACGUGAGCAACCCGCCUUAAAGAGGGGGAUAACGUUGGGAAACCAACGCUAAUACCGCAUAACAUAUUAAGACCGCAUGGUUUUAAUAUCAAAGGAGCAAUCCGCUUUAAGAUGGGCUCGCGCCCGAUUAGGUAGUUGGUGAGGUAAUGGCCCCACCAAGCCUGCGAUCGGUAGCCGGACUGAGAGGUUGAUCGGCCACAUUGGGACUGAGACACGGCCCAGACUCCUACGGGAGGCGGCAGUGGGGAAUAUUGCACAAUGGAGGAAAAACCUCUGAUGCAGCGACGCCGCGUGAGGGAAGAAGGUCUUCGGAUUGUAAACCUCUGUCUUUGGGGAAGAUAAUGACGGUACCCAAGGAGGAAGCCACGGCUAACUACGUGCCAGCCGCCGC